This is a long non-coding RNA of Pyrus x bretschneideri (Chinese white pear), 1002 nucleotides long. RefSeq lists it as uncharacterized. The record is from RefSeq and is a predicted model, not a curated record. The transcript is spliced from 3 exons. Lineage: Eukaryota; Viridiplantae; Streptophyta; Magnoliopsida; Rosales; Rosaceae.
GAAUCAAAUGCUAACACUCCAAUACAUGAUUUUUUCUCUACCUUCACCUUCCUACGAGUUCCUCAAAGUAUACCAAAUUCACUCCAAUACAGCAAUUAGCUCUAUGGACAUUUGGUUUUCUUGUGUAUGACAUUCGAAAACAACCUUAAUUUGCAUAUAGAGGAAUAUAUGAAACCAAAAAAAUCUGCAGCGUUCCUUGGGUAGAUAUAAGCAAAGUUUAUUUCUUUCAAGAGUAGUAUAAUUGCAUAUCACAAUAUUUAUUCUAAGUCAUUGCUUCCCUGUUAGGAUCAAAGCUAGCAAUACCAUCAACAUAAGCUGCCAGAUGAGUACUAAAUGAAUCUCACGGCCACUCCCACAAAUAUAUUAUAUGGUAAAUGUUUGUUGAACUCAGAAAAUGAUAUAACUUGGUAGGUAUAGUCCUCCAUGUCAUUGGCCACAUCAGGAGGACGAGGAGCAAGAGAACUGCUUGCAGUUGUCCCAAACUCCUUAACCAAAAAGUUCUUCCCGAAAAGUUCUUCGAAUUGCAGAUAAAACUUAUCCCGUGUAUUUCUGAUUGCAAUAGUUCAUGGUCGAAUCAAAUACGGAUGAUGAUGAGGAACAUGACAAGGAAGCCGCUCCCCGAGACUAUAGGAAAGACUAUGGAGAAGAAGAGAAGCAGGAUUGCAACUAAUGCUACAGAAAACGGAGUUAGGAAACCAGAGAAGCUAUAUUUCUUCGGUGACUAGAAGAAGCUGAAAAUAACUCUUUCGAUUUGCAUAGUCGCAUAUAUUUUCUCAGCUGAUGGUUGUGAUUUUCUAAUGAUGUACUGAAGGGUCAUUUGCUUAGUUCGAAUCUCGACCGUUGACUUUCGUUGUUUAUGUAUUUUGAAAUACUUGGUAUAAUUGAUUAUGGCAACAGAGCCUUGAUGGUAACCAUUGUCAAAAUCCAUAUAAAACAUUUUCAUGGCUGAGACUGGAAACCAAGAAUGGUUAGAUUUAUGAGUUUAACUACAAGUUUUUUUGA